AUGAUACUCAUCUAUCCCAGGAGGCCACGCGAGAGGAUACGUCAAUGCACAUAGCUUGCAAACUGCCAAUAAAAAUCACAGAAGAAGAAGAAGAAGAAGAGAGGAUACGUCAAUAUCAACAUCGCGGAGAUAAGCGACGCGGGGGUUUUCAAAUGGACAGGAGAACACGCGUGUGUUUAUCCAGUGGAGAGAGGCUCAUGAUGCUGAAUGCUGUCAUCAAAGAAUGGGAACCGCUGUGUUGAGUCGGCAGUAGGGUUUGGGGUUCAGUGCCUGUAAAUACAUGCUUGUAGUUUGAAUAAAGCUGUUUCAUGUGUUGACUUGUA
Pimephales promelas (fathead minnow) is the source of this 323-nucleotide non-coding RNA. Lineage: Eukaryota; Metazoa; Chordata; Actinopteri; Cypriniformes; Leuciscidae. The record is from RefSeq and is a predicted model, not a curated record.